AGCCAUUGCAGCUAACGUCGGAUUUUACAGUCGCAACCAACUGGGUAGCCAUAUAAAUCACAGCCAUUCACAUUUUCAAAUGCCCUAAGUUUGGCGGACGGAACGCAAAACCCAAAACUGUGUGCAAGCAGUGGAGCCAACAAAUAAUUACAAUUUAAGCGGAAUCCGAGAAGGCAAAAAGCACACAGAGCGGAACCCGGCGAGAAGCUGAGCGACGGGAAAAGGCGAAAAAAGUUGCCAGCACGCCGGAGAGUUUGCCCAGCAAGCGGGACGAGGCAAGUGGUGGGGCGGGCACCA
Molecule: unclassified non-coding RNA, 297 nt
Filed under: Drosophila yakuba
Lineage: Eukaryota; Metazoa; Arthropoda; Insecta; Diptera; Drosophilidae
Description: GE12654
Source: RNAcentral